Aedes aegypti (yellow fever mosquito) is the source of this 529-nucleotide long non-coding RNA. RefSeq lists it as uncharacterized. NCBI's taxonomy places the organism in Eukaryota, Metazoa, Arthropoda, Insecta, Diptera, Culicidae. The transcript has 2 exons. The record is from RefSeq and is a predicted model, not a curated record.
AAGUAUCGGAACGUCCCUAGUGUCACCCGACAGCGCUGACUGAACGCCCCAACAAGGUCUCGGUCACAUGGCUGUACUAACUGAGCCAGAGCAACGCUCGUUCUGGCUUUUCUCUUUCUCUCUUUAUUUUCAGAUUGGGAGAUUGAGUUCCCCGCGGGAGCGCGAUAAAACGCCCCGAUCGCUGGCGGCGGGGGUUGCAGUUCUGACGGUUCGUGGACGUUGCAGUUCUGACCGGUGGAGUCCGGGUGUGUACGACGCGCGCAGUUCUGACCGGAGGAGUCCGGGUGUGUACGACGCGCGCUGUUCUGACGGUCCCCAGUUCUGACGAGGUGUGCCGUUCGUUUUCGACAUUUUCGUUCAAAGUUCAGUGGGCAUCUUCUGCCAAAAUUUACGAGCGGGCCAAUUCGGGUCGAGAGUGUUUGAUAGUGAUAUAAGGUGGAUAAAGUAUAGCUAGUGAAUUGUGACGACUUUUUAAUAAAUUGUGGAGAAAAUUGUGAGAAGAAACAGAUUAAUCAAUAUUCCGAAAAAA